Molecule: ribosomal RNA, 723 nt
Filed under: uncultured Kingella sp.
Lineage: Bacteria; Pseudomonadati; Pseudomonadota; Betaproteobacteria; Neisseriales; Neisseriaceae
Description: bacterial SSU rRNA
Rfam family: Bacterial small subunit ribosomal RNA
Source: RNAcentral
GAUGAACGCUGACAGAAUGCUUAACACAUGCAAGUCAACUUGAACUUCGGUUUGGGUGGCGGACGGGUGAGUAACGCGUAAAGAACUUGCCUCACAGAUAGGGACAACAUUUGGAAACGAAUGCUAAUACCUGAUAUUAUGAUUUUAGGGCAUCCUAGGAUUAUGAAAGCUAUAUGCGCUGUGAGAGAGCUUUGCGUCCCAUUAGCUAGUUGGAGAGGUAACGGCUCACCAAGGCGAUGAUGGGUAGCCGGCCUGAGAGGGUGAUCGGCCACAAGGGGACUGAGACACGGCCCUUACUCCUACGGGAGGCAGCAGUGGGGAAUAUUGGACAAUGGACCAAGAGUCUGAUCCAGCAAUUCUGUGUGCACGAUGAAGUUUUUCGGAAUGUAAAGUGCUUUCAGUUGGGAAGAAAAAAAUGACGGUACCAACAGAAGAAGUGACGGCUAACUCCGUGCCAGCAGCCGCGGUAAUACGGGGGGUGCAAGCGUUACUCGGAAUCACUGGGCGUAAAGGACGCGUAGGCGGAUUAUCAAGUCUUUUGUGAAAUCUAGUGGCUUAACCACUAAACUGCUUAGGAAACUGAUAGUCUAGAGUAGGGGAGAGGUAGAUGGAAUUCUUGGUGUAGGGGUAAAAUCCGUAGAGAUCAAGAAGAAUACCCAUUGCGAAAGCGAUCUGCUGGAACCUAACUGACGCUGAGGCGUGAAAGCGUGGGUAGCAAACAGG